AUGAUCUCCUCUAGGAGAUCCUCGGAGGUGGCGCCUGAGUCUCACGAAGAGGAUCUCGCCCGCCCCGCGGCGCACGCAUCCUCCCUCCAGCAUGCCUCAUCGAAGGCGCUGGCCUCCCCGCUUGAAGACGACGAUCUCCUUCGGGAGAUCCUCCUCCGCCUCGCGCCGCAACCAUCCUCCCUCCCACGUGCCUUUGCUGUCUGCAAGCGAUGGCGAGGCCUCCUCACCGACCCCAGGUUCCUCCGCCGCUACUAUGCCCACCACCACAAGCCUCCCCUCCUUGGUGUCUUUGAGACUCGCAGCGGGAAGAACCCCUUUAUUUCAACUUUGGACUCUCCCGACCGCAUCCCCCCCGAGCGAUUCGACCUACAACGUCACAUCAACUUCCCUAAAAGUGUGCUUGAUUGCCGCCAUGGCCGCGUCCUCGUCAAAUACUGGAUGCGGGAAGACCUCGUUGUGUGUGAUCCCAUCACCAGUGAGAAGCACCACAUGUCUGUUCUAUCGAAAUUCAAGGGGGUAUUCAUUAGCGGGGCGGUGCUUUGCGCUGCCGGUGACCAGGGCCAUGUGCACGGUGGCUGCCACUCCAGUCCUAUAAAAGUUGUCUUGGUGUCCACCACAAAAGAUGCUAGAGCCCUAGCCUGUGUUUACUCCUCGGAGACUGGCGUAUGGGACAAUCUGAUCUCAACAUCAACUCCAUGUCAGCUUUUUGUUGGUCGUUUUUCUGGGACCCUCAUUGGUAAGGCCCUUUAUUGGCCGCUUUUUACCCCUGAGAAGGGCAUACUGGAGUUUAAUUUGGAAGAGCAGAGCCUAGCUGUGAUUAAGGGGCCUCCUUUGACAAACGAUUUCGACAUGGGCAACAUUUGGAUCAUUCAAGCUGAGGGUGGUGGUGUUGGCUUAGCCGUAUUGUCUUACCCUUUCUUCCAAAUGUGGCAAAGGGACGUCAAUUUUCAUGGUGUUGCCACAUGGGUCCUGCAAAAGACCUUUGAAAUACAUAGCAUUCUUGGUCUCCCUCCCCAUAUUGGAAGAGGGACAGGAGCGAGAAAAACUAUAGUGGGAUAUUCUGAGGAUGCUGAUGUAGUUUUCAUACUUGUGGGUGAUAGUCUAUGCAUGGUUCAACUUAAAUCGAUGCAAUGCAAGAGACUUUGUGAAACCAAUCAUUCGGUUUGCUACUAUCCUCUCACGAGCUUCUAUGUACCAGGUGAUUUUUCAUCCAUGGGCAUUAUAUUGUAG
RNAcentral lists this ribosomal RNA (1230 nucleotides) under Triticum aestivum (bread wheat). Its description in RNAcentral is "partial small subunit ribosomal RNA". The record is from RNAcentral. Lineage: Eukaryota; Viridiplantae; Streptophyta; Magnoliopsida; Poales; Poaceae.